GUUCUGUCUCAUAUAGGGGAAGACCCGUACUUGCAGAAGAAGUAGCAUCGUCCACCUGUGUUUCAGGGGGGGGCCACCCCCCAGGAAAGG
RNAcentral lists this ribosomal RNA (90 nucleotides) under Tritrichomonas sp. AUTf. RNAcentral describes it as "partial 28S ribosomal RNA". Lineage: Eukaryota; Parabasalia; Tritrichomonadida; Tritrichomonadidae. The record is from RNAcentral.